This is a long non-coding RNA of Capsicum annuum, 1730 nucleotides long. RefSeq lists it as uncharacterized. NCBI's taxonomy places the organism in Eukaryota, Viridiplantae, Streptophyta, Magnoliopsida, Solanales, Solanaceae. The transcript has 9 exons. The record is from RefSeq and is a predicted model, not a curated record.
AAGUCCUUCUCCUUAUUUCUCAAAGAAUGCUACACAGUAGCUCCACCAAGUUCAAGUCAUCAACAACUUGUCAUGAUCCAUGAACGUAAUUUAGGCAAACGUUAUCAAGGUCAAAUAAAGUAUUCAGGUGAUUAUGGAUAAAAGCUGGAUGCAUGAACCAAAGUUUACUAAAAGAUAUAUUGAGGGCGUCCAAUCUUUUAUGCAGCUUGUUCGAUCUCACUUUGAUCGAAAUACCAAAAUUUGAUGCGCAUGUAUAGAUUGCUUAAAUGCAUUUUUUCAAACACAAGAAGUAGUGCACGACCACUUAUUGCUCGGAGGAAUUAUGAAAAGUUAAGUGCACUGGAGACACCAUGGAGAACAAUUACAAAUGAGAGAUAACAAUGAAGUAGUUUACAAUGAAGAUGAAAAUGAAGCCCAUGAUAAGGAAGAUGGGAUUCGUACUAUGUUAGAAGAGGUCGUUGAAGGAUCAUUUGUCAAUUAUUCAGAAGAGACUGGUAAUGAUGUGUGUAGUAAUAUGAGUGAGAAAGAAGCUAUAACAUUUGACAUAUUGCUGAAAGAAGAUGAAUGUGAAUUAUACCCGAGAUAGUUAUAGAGUGAUGGUGUAGAGACAUUCGAUGCAUCAGAUGGGGAAAGCUUCAAAAUGCAUGUUGCUGUUUUAUGGACCAUAAAUGAUUUUCCAGCUUAUUGUAAUUUAUCUUGAUGGAGCACUAAGGGAUAUAUGGCAUGUCCUACUUGCAAUAAGGAUGCAUCUUCAAAAAGGACUGCAUAAAGAAGAGCUAUUGAAGCAAGGUGUUGUGGAUAUAGAAGAUAAACAUAGAGAAUAAUUUCCUUCAUGGUUUAGAAGUAAAAUCCCUCUAAGGAAAACUGCAACAUCAUACAAGUUCAACCAAUUCAUUUCAUCUAAAAAUUGUCUCCCGCACUUAACUUUUCAUUUAUCAAUGAGAAAACUUUGUUAGUUCAAUAUAUUUUUAAAAUGUUGGUCCUCUUUUAUGAUAGUUCCAUCUAAUUAUUUUAGUUCAUAUUUUGCUGUGAUCUGUUCCUCCAAAAUUUAACAUAUUUUGGUUAACAACAACACAUAAGUAAGAAGUUUAACGUGUCUUGAUUUGAAGACUAUCAGUCAUUUUUCUUUUCUUUUGAGAACCUACACUGAUUUAUUGACAAGCCUGAUUGGAUCAACUUGUGGCCUUAUAUAGAGCUUACUAAUGCAUUUGAUAAAUUGAAUCCUAAGAUUGAGAAUGAAAGAAGUUGAUCAACAGAAUUUUGUAGAACGGUUGUCAAAGAAGACCACUAGUCUCCAGCAAUUGCAGUAUCUUUCAUCAGCAUUUUUUAUCUGCAAUUGAUCAUUCUCGUUCACUGCCUAGCAUAGAAUUGAGAUCAAGAUUUUUUAUAUUAGCUGGUGCACUAAUAAUACACAGGUUUUGAGGUUAUUUGCUUUACAGGUGCCAAAAAGCCGAAGGAUUAACUGCUUCAGAUACCCAAAUUAGGGAUGCUGACACUGUCAUGGAUGUAGUAGAUCCAUGCUCCAAAUUUCAUAGAAAUGAACAAACUUUGGAUGCGAAUGCAAUAUCAGGGACUUGCAUGGGAAAAGAAAAAAUGUUAAAAAGAAAGGAGAGAGCUUCAUGAUCUUGUAAUGAGGUAGGGAAGAACCUGAAUAUUCUAAGUCAAAUUGAGGGCAUUGAUCUUGAUUUGUACAAAGAAACGGUGCUUCUAAGAAUUUUAGAGCAGGUGUU